Molecule: ribosomal RNA, 248 nt
Filed under: uncultured bacterium
Lineage: Bacteria
Description: partial 16S ribosomal RNA
Rfam family: Bacterial small subunit ribosomal RNA
Source: RNAcentral
AGGUCUCAAGCGUUGUUCGGAUUCAUUGGGCGUAAAGGGUGCGUAGGUGGCGUCGUAAGUCAGGUGUGAAAUCUCGGGGCUCAACCCCGAAACUGCACUUGAUACUGCGAUGCUCGAGUACUGGAGAGGAGAUUGGAAUUUACGGUGUAGCAGUGAAAUGCGUAGAUAUCGUAAGGAAGACCAGUGGCGAAGGCGAAUCUCUGGACAGUUACUGACACUGAGGCACGAAGGCCAGGGGAGCAAACGGG